This 773-nucleotide non-coding RNA is filed under the name Lethe baucis. Lineage: Eukaryota; Metazoa; Arthropoda; Insecta; Lepidoptera; Nymphalidae. The record is from RNAcentral.
GAUAAAGUUUUUAUGUUUUAUAAAAUUUAUUGUAAGUUUAUUUUACAUAUAAAUUUUAGUGUUAAAUUUUAAUUAUUUAAAAAAUAAUUAAUUAAAGAUUAUAGUAAUUAAAAUUAAAAAUUUAAGAAAUUAAGAUUUAGUAAUAUAAAAAUUAAUAACUAAUUUUGUGCCAGCAGUUGCGGUUAUACAAAAAUUAAAUUAAAUUAUUUCAGUAUUUAAUAAAUAAAAUAUAAUUAAAAUAAAUAUUAAAUUAUUAGGUGAAAUUUUAAUUUAAUUAAAUUUUAAAUUAAUUUUAUGAUUUAAUAAAUUUAAUAAUAAACUAGGAUUAGAUACCCUAUUAUUAAAAAUUUAAUUAAUAAUACUAAAAUAGUAGAUAAUAAAUAUUGAAACUUAAAUAAUAUGGCGGUAUUUUAGUUCAUUUAGAGGAAUCUGUUUAAUAAUUGAUAAUCCACGAAUAAAUUUACUUAAUUUAUUAUUUUAUAUAUCGUUGUUAAAAAAAUAUUUUAUAAUAAAAAUAAUAUUUUAAAAUUUUAAAAAUAAAUUAAUUCAGAUCAAGAUGUAGAUUAUAAUUAAGAAUAUAAUGGAUUACAAUAAAAUAAUUUAGAUGAAUCAUUAAUUUUAAAAUUAAUUUGAAGGUGGAUUUAAAUGUAAUUUUAAUUAAUUUAUUAAAAUGAUUAAAAAUUGAAAUAUGUACAUAUUGCCCGUCACUUUCAUUUAAAAAUUGAAAUAAGUCGUAACAAAGUAGAAGUACUGGAAAGUGUUUCUAGAAUGAA